UACGGAGGGUGCAAGCGUUAAUCGGAAUUACUGGGCGUAAAGGGCGCGUAGGUGGUUGAAUAAGUUGGCUGUGAAAUCCCUGGGCUUAACCUAGGGUGGUCAGUCAAUACUGUUGAACUAGAGUACGGGAGAGGGUAGUGGAAUUUCAGGUGUAGCGGUGAAAUGCGUAGAGAUCUGAAGGAACACCAGUGGCGAAGGCGACUACCUGGCACGAUACUGACACUGAGGCGCGAAAGCGUGGGGAGCAAACAGGA
Molecule: ribosomal RNA, 254 nt
Filed under: uncultured bacterium
Lineage: Bacteria
Description: partial 16S ribosomal RNA
Rfam family: Bacterial small subunit ribosomal RNA
Source: RNAcentral